Molecule: ribosomal RNA, 810 nt
Filed under: uncultured bacterium
Lineage: Bacteria
Description: bacterial SSU rRNA
Rfam family: Bacterial small subunit ribosomal RNA
Source: RNAcentral
AGAGUUUGAUCCUGGCUCAGAAUCAACGCUGGCGGCGUGCCUCAGACAUGCAAGUCGAACGCGAAAGUCCCCUUCGGGGGGCGAGUAGAGUGGCGCACGGGUGAGUAACACGUAGGUAAUCUACCUUUGGAUUGGGAAUAACCACCGGAAACGGUGGCUAAUACCGAAUAAUGCAGCGGCACCUAAUGGUGACAGUUGUUAAAGCGGGGGAUCGCAAGACCUCGCGUCUGAAGAGGAGCCUGCGGCGGAUUAGCUAGUUGGUAAGGUAACGGCUUACCAAGGCUGUGAUCCGUAGCCGGCCUGAGAGGGCGGUCGGCCACACUGACACUGACAUACGGGUCAGACUCCUACGGGAGGCAGCAGUCGGGAAUUUUGGGCAAUGGGCGAAAGCCUGACCCAGCAACGCCGCGUGAAGGAUGAAAUCCCUCGGGAUGUAAACUUCGCAAGAACGGGAAGAAUAAGUAAGAGUUAAUAUCUCUUAUGAUGACGGUACUGUUUGUAAGCUCCGGCUAACUCCGUGCCAGCAGCCGCGGUAAUACGGGGGGAGCAAGCGUUGUUCGGAUUUACUGGGCGUAAAGGGCGCGUAGGCGGCCACCGCAAGUCGACUGUGAAAUCUCCGGGCUUAACCCGGAAAGGUCAGCCGAUACUGCGGGGCUAGAGUGCAGAAGGGGCAACUGGAAUUCUCGGUGUAGCGGUGAAAUGCGUAGAUAUCGAGAGGAACACCUGCGGCGAAGGCGGGUUGCUGGGCUGACACUGACGCUGAGGCGCGAAAGCUAGGGGAGCGAACGGGAUUAGAUACCCUUGUAGUCC